GUUGUGCCAGCGGAAGCUUUGAUGCCAACAAUGUUAGUUCAAGAACACAAAGAUAAAACAAUCACACAUACGGUACACGAGGUUUUAACGUGGUUCGGCCAACCAUGCCUACAUCCACGGAUGAGAGAGAAUAAUUCCACUAUACAAUAGAGAAUAUUACAGAGGAUAGAACCAGAUACAAUUAUUGGGUUCCCGAAACAUCCCAUGUUUCCCCACUCCUUGUAUCCAUACCUUACUACGAGCCCUCUCGCUCCACCAGGUACCUCCCGUUCUUCCUCACAUCUCUAUCCACCUCGUAUAGUCUCUAUAGGCCCAUCUCCAUCUCAUAACUUUUUCCCCUCAUGACCCAGAAUAUUUAUAGAGAUAUUUCCAACAACCUUCCUUAUUGAAUAAGGAAGUCUAAUAUUACAAUAAUAUAUCAACCUAUAAAUAUUCUAUAUAAUAUUCUUUACAAAGAAAGGAAUCUAUACUAAUUAGGAAUUUGGGACACUUCCUAACAAUCUCCACCUUGGACCAAAUUACAUGAAGUUAAUCUUCAAUCUCUCUAUGACACAAACCUUUUUGUAUCAUAUCACCACGAAAUAGCAAUCAACUCCACCUUCAGUGAAAAUUCCUUUUGUUUUCAUCUUGUGUGCUUUGUGAUAUUUUACUCUUCCAGAAAUCUUCAACCCAAGCUCUGAUACCAAUUGUUGUGCCAGCGGAAGCUUUGAUGCCAACGAUGUUAGUUCAAGAACACAAAGAUAAAAACAAUCACACAUACGGUACACGAGGUUUUAACGUGGUUCGGCCAACCAUGCCUACGUCCACGGAUGAGAGAGAAUAAUUCCACUACACAAUAGAGAAUAUUACAGAGGAUAGAACCAGAUACAACUAUUGGGUUCCCGAAACAUCCCAUGUUUCCCCACUCCUUGUAUCCAUACCUUACUACGAGCCUUCUCGCUCCACCAGGUACCUCCCGUUCUUCCUCACAUCUCUAUCCACCUCGUAUAGUCUCUAUAGGUCCAUCUCCAUCUCAUAACUUUUUCCCCUCAUGACCUAGAAUAUUUAUAGAGAUAUUUCCAACAACCUUCCUUAUUCUAUAAGGAAGUCUAAUAUUACAAUAAUAUAUCAACCUAGAAAUAUUCUAUAUAAUAUUCUUUACAAAGAAAGGAAUCUAUACUAAUUAGGAAUUUGGAACACUUCCUAACAAUCUCCACCUUGGACCAAAUUACAUGAAGUUAAUCUUCAAUCUCUCCAUGACACAAAUCUUUUUGUAUCAUAUCACCACGAAAUAGCAAUCAACUCCACCUUCAGUGAAAAUUCCUUUUGUUUUCAUCUUGUGUGCUUUGUGAUCUUUUACUCUUCCAGAAAUCUUCAACCCAAGCUCUGAUACCAAUUGUUGUGCCAGCGGAAGCUUUGAUGCCAACAAUGUUAGUUCAAGAACACAAAGAUAAAACAAUCACACAUACGGUACACGAGGUUUUAACGUGGUUCGGCCAACCAUGCCUACAUCCACGGAUGAGAGAGAAUAAUUCCACUAUACAAUAGAGACUAUUACAGAGGAUAGAACCAGAUACAAUUAUUGGGUUCUCGAAACAUCCCAUGUUUCCCCACUCCUUGUAUCCAUACCUUACUACGAGCCCUCUCGCUCCACCAGGUACCUCCCGUUCUUCCUCACAUCUCUAUCCACCUCGUAUAGUCUCUAUAGGCCCAUCUCCAUCUCAUAACUUUUUCCCCUCAUGACCCAGAAUAUUUAUAGAGAUAUUUCCAAC
RNAcentral lists this long non-coding RNA (1751 nucleotides) under Vitis vinifera (wine grape). RNAcentral's name for it is "long non-coding RNA (VVIN_LNC001064)". Lineage: Eukaryota; Viridiplantae; Streptophyta; Magnoliopsida; Vitales; Vitaceae. The record is from RNAcentral.